RNAcentral lists this ribosomal RNA (253 nucleotides) under uncultured bacterium. RNAcentral describes it as "partial 16S ribosomal RNA". It matches the Rfam family "Bacterial small subunit ribosomal RNA", at positions 524 to 776 of the family's 1533-position model. The record is from RNAcentral.
GACGUAGGGCGCGAGCGUUGUCCGGAUUUAUUGGGCGUAAAGAGCUCGUAGGCGGCUUGUCGCGUCGUCCGUGAAAACCUGCAGCUCAACUGCAGGCUUGCGGUCGAUACGGGCAGGCUGGAGUUCGGUAGGGGAGACUGGAAUUCCUGGUGUAGCGGUGAAAUGCGCAGAUAUCAGGAGGAACACCGGUGGCGAAGGCAGCUCGCUGGGACGGUACUGACGCUAAGGCGCGAAAGCGUGGGGAGCGAACAGG